UGCAGUCGAACGCCCUCUUUUAGAGGGAGUGGCGCAGGGUGCGUAACGCGUGGGAACCUGCCCUUAGGUUCGGAAUAACUCANAGAAAUUUGAGCUAAUACCGGAUAAUGUCUUCGGACCAAAGAUUUAUCGCCUUUGGAUGGGCCCGCGUAGGAUUAGAUAGUUGGUGGGGUAAUGGCCUACCAAGUCGACGAUCCUUAGCUGGUCUGAGAGGAUGAUCAGCCACACUGGGACUGAGACACGGCCCAGACUCCUACGGGAGGCAGCAGUGGGGAAUAUUGGACAAUGGGCGAAAGCCUGAUCCAGCAAUGCCGCGUGAGUGAUGAAGGCCUUAGGGUUGUAAAGCUCUUUUACCAGGGAUGAUAAUGACAGUACCUGGAGAAUAAGCUCCGGCUAACUCCGUGCCAGCAGCCGCGGUAAUACGGAGGGAGCUAGCGUUGUUCGGAAUUACUGGGCGUAAAGCGCACGUAGGCGGCUUUUCAAGUCAGGGGUGAAAUCCCGGGGCUCAACCCCGGAACUGCCCUUGAAACUGGAUGGCUAGAAUACUGGANAGGUGAGUGGAAUUCCGAGUGUA
This 574-nucleotide ribosomal RNA is filed under the name Erythrobacter sp. Its description in RNAcentral is "bacterial SSU rRNA". It matches the Rfam family "Bacterial small subunit ribosomal RNA", at positions 56 to 677 of the family's 1533-position model. Lineage: Bacteria; Pseudomonadati; Pseudomonadota; Alphaproteobacteria; Sphingomonadales; Erythrobacteraceae. The record is from RNAcentral.